GUGUUCCUUCCUAUAUCUACGCAUUUCACCGCUACACAGGAAAUUCCACCACCCUCUACCGUACUCUAGCUUGCCAGUUUUGGAUGCAGUUCCCAGGUUGAGCCCGGGGCUUUCACAUCCAACUUAACAAACCACCUACGCGCGCUUUACGCCCAGUAAUUCCGAUUAACGCUUGCACCCUCUGUAUUACCGCGGCUGCUGGCACAGAGUUAGCCGGUGCUUAUUCUGUCGGUAACGUCAAAACAGCAAGGUAUUAACUUACUGCCCUUCCUCCCAACUUAAAGUGCUUUACAAUCCGAAGACCUUCUUCACACACGCGGCAUGGCUGGAUCAGGCUUUCGCCCAUUGUCCAAUAUUCCCCACUGCUGCCUCCCGUAGGAGUCUGGACCGUGUCUCAGUUCCAGUGUGACUGAUCAUCCUCUCAGACCAGUUACGGAUCGUCGCCUUGGUGAGCCAUUACCCCACCAACUAGCUAAUCCGACCUAGGCUCAUCUGAUAGCGCAAGGCCCGAAGGUCCCCUGCUUUCUCCCGUAGGACGUAUGCGGUAUUAGCGUUCCUUUCGAAACGUUGUCCCCCACUACCAGGCAGAUUCCUAGGCAUUACUCACCCGUCCGCCGCUGAAUCAAGGAGCAAGCUCCCGUCAUCCGCUCGACUUGCAUGUGUUAGGCCUGCCGCCAGCGUUCAUCU
Molecule: ribosomal RNA, 687 nt
Filed under: Pseudomonas sp.
Lineage: Bacteria; Pseudomonadati; Pseudomonadota; Gammaproteobacteria; Pseudomonadales; Pseudomonadaceae
Description: partial 16S rRNA
Source: RNAcentral